CCUACGGGAGGCAGCAGUGAGGAAUAUUGGUCAAUGGGCGGGAGCCUGAACCAGCCAAGCCGCGUGAGGGAAGAAGGUACAGCGUAUCGUAAACCUCUUUUGUCAGGGAACAAAGGCGGGGACUAGUCCCCGGAUGAGGGUACCUGAAGAAAAAGCAUCGGCUAACUCCGUGCCAGCAGCCGCGGUAAUACGGAGGAUGCGAGCGUUAUCCGGAUUUAUUGGGGUUAAAGGGUGCGCAGGCGGCCGGUUAAGUCAGCGGUAAAAGCCCGGGGCUCAACCCCGGCGAGCCGUUGAAACUGGCGGGCUUGAGUUGGAGAGAAGUACGCGGAAUGCGCGGUGUAGCGGUGAAAUGCUUAGAUAUCGCGCAGAACCCCGAUUGCGAAGGCAGCGUACCGGCUCCACACUGACGCUGAGGCACGAAAGCGUGGGUAUCGAACAGGAUUAGAUACCCGUGUAGUC
This 459-nucleotide ribosomal RNA is filed under the name uncultured bacterium. RNAcentral describes it as "partial 16S ribosomal RNA". It matches the Rfam family "Bacterial small subunit ribosomal RNA", at positions 338 to 795 of the family's 1533-position model. The record is from RNAcentral.